RNA transcript from Panicum virgatum (switchgrass), 1336 nucleotides. RefSeq lists it as uncharacterized. The transcript is spliced from 3 exons. The record is from RefSeq and is a predicted model, not a curated record. Lineage: Eukaryota; Viridiplantae; Streptophyta; Magnoliopsida; Poales; Poaceae.
CGCACGGCAGCCACCCCACCCCCCGCUCGAGACAUGGCGGCCGCGCACCGAGGCGCCCCGCGCGGCCCCCCCGUAGCGCUGGCGAGUCCCGUGGCUGUGGCGGCGCUCCCCAUCCCGGCGACCUCCCUCCCCGGGAGGCACCCCCCAGUGGCCACCCUUCCGGGCGGCGUGCAGCGGCGUGGCUAACCCGAGGUGGUGGCGCGCCCCUGGACCCCAGUGGCAGCGGCGGUGGCGGACGCGCAUCAGGUCGCGUCUCGUGGAAGCAGGCUGCCGGCACGCAAGCUGUGCGGGCGGAGCAGGGCCAGUGCGGCAAGCGGAGGCCAAGCUCGAUGCGCGGGCCGCAAUGACGCCGGAGCGGAGGCGUUGCGGGGGCACACGACCCCGGUGGUGUGGUGGCGGAUCAGCGGAUCUUGCGCUACCAAAGAUAGUGGUGGCGAGGGGACGAGUGGCAUGUGAUGAUGGACGUGCAGCGGAUGGCGCCGGCGCCGGCCACGACCCGCACGAUGGGGCACUGACAUGGUUGAUGUGUCGGCGGCCGUGCUCUUUGCAGGCCCCUCAUUGGCCAGGCACCAUCGAAGCCAGGCCGCCACAUCAAGCUACUGUCCGUCGACUGCCCUCUUCGAUUCCUGCAUCUACAGCUCGUCCCCACUCCCGAUUUGUUGGACAAAUGAGUUGAUAAUAUCUGGUUGGCAGAGGAGAUGGAAGAGGAGACUCACCGACCUACCCCAUCGAUCUUGGACCCCCCGGUGGCGUGCUCGCCUUCGCCCCUUCCUGCUCUGGCUGGGUGGCUGGUGCGCCUAGACGGCCGAUGGCGGCGUUGUUGGUGUGAGGCGCCCCAGGAUCUAGAGAUGGGAGCGACGACGCCCUGGCUAUGCAAUAUUUUUUUUCUUUUAUCACAGAUUGAAGUUUCAACGCGGAUGUGUUCCUGUGUUCUUGUUUCUAUGAUUCUAUGUAAAUGAUUCUAUGCGUGAUGUAACUUUUCUACGCAGAUGUAUUCCUGUUUCUAUGAUUUUGUGUAAAUGAUUCUAAGCAUGGUGUAACUGAUUCAAUGACAGCUUCACGGAGCAUGAGAUCUGCCACCCCACCCUGCCCCUCCCCCCGUCGGCGAUGGCCCCGCGGCAGCAUGGUGCUUUAUGAGACCAGCAGAAGCGCACACUAGGAGCCCUUGGCCGAGUUAUAAAUGAAAUUUUUGAGUGUAGCUCUAUGAUCGUCGUCUUAUAUGACAUUGUUGUUCAUGUUUCUAUGACAUUGCUCGGCCUCUACGCCAAUGUUGAUGCAUUUCUAUGCCAUUAUCCAGUUUCUGUUGAUGUGUUUAUAUGCAAUUGGUGGGUCUCUA